This 440-nucleotide ribosomal RNA is filed under the name uncultured bacterium. Its description in RNAcentral is "bacterial SSU rRNA". It matches the Rfam family "Bacterial small subunit ribosomal RNA", at positions 338 to 795 of the family's 1533-position model. The record is from RNAcentral.
CCUACGGGAGGCUGCAGUGGGGAAUAUUGCACAAUGGGCGCAAGCCUGAUGCAGCGACGCCGCGUGAGCGAUGAAGGCCUUCGGGUCGUAAAGCUCUGUCCUACGGGAAGAAUAAUGACGGUACCUUAGGAGGAAGCCCCGGCUAACUACGUGCCAGCAGCCGCGGCAAUCCGUAGGGGGGGAGCGUUAUCCGGAAUUACGGGGCGUGAGGGGAGCGUAGGUGGCCUUUUAAGUCAGAGGUGAAAGGCUACGGCUUAACCGUAGUUAGCAUUUGAAACUAGAAGGCUUGAGUGCAGGAGAGGAGAGUGGAGUUCCUAGUGUAGCGGUGAAAUGCGUAGAUAUUAGGAGGAACACCAGUGGCGAAGGCGACUCUCUGGACUGCAACUGACGCUGAGGCACGAAAGCGUGGGGAGCGAACAGGAUUAGAUACCCCAGUAGUC